This 253-nucleotide ribosomal RNA is filed under the name uncultured bacterium. RNAcentral's name for it is "partial 16S ribosomal RNA". It matches the Rfam family "Bacterial small subunit ribosomal RNA", at positions 524 to 776 of the family's 1533-position model. The record is from RNAcentral.
UACGAGUGGUGCAAGCGUUAUUCGGAAUCACUGGGCGUAAAGGGUGUGUAGGUGACAAUUCAAGUCUAUUGUUAAAUCUCCUAGCCUAACUGGGAAAAUGCAAUGGAAACUGAGUUGAUAGAGGAUGGAAGAGAGAAGUGGAAUUCUUGGAGUAGCGGUAAAAUGCGUAGAUAUCAAGAGGAACACCGAUGGCGAAGGCAGCUUCUUGGUCCAUACCUGACACUGAUACACGAAAGCGUGGGGAGCAAACAGG